UGGGCUUCGUGUAGGUAUCCUCAAUUCGCGGAAAUUCGACAGUUGUCCGGAUCUGUGAAUUUCCGGACAGACAGACCAGCUACCGGAAAAGUCUCCGAAUUGGAUCGAGAUUUUGGCUACCCCACCAUUGUUAGGCAUCCCGAGCACGUUCCCUUAGUCGGAAUCGGCAAAGGUGAGCCGGGACAGCCUUCUUCCUCCGCCCAGCCGCCACAGUAAUUUGUCGUCAAGUCUGCCACAGGAGGAUAUUUUGUUCUGGGUUAACCUGCCUUUUUACCUCGCAGGUUGUUUAUCAAUAUUGUGUAAUUUUAAUUACUCCUAGAAUUUCCGCAUGUGUUAGCAGUAAUUAUUUGAAAUUGGUCUGUAAUAUUAUAUUCAUGUUGGACCUGUAAACUUAAUAUUUUAAGUCUGUUUGAUGGAUUGGAUGAGGGAGCUGAGCUCCCAUUUAUUAUUAUGUUGAUGAGUAUGUGGAGGGUGAGCUGAGCUCCCCAAUGGAUUGUUUAUUGUGUUUACAGGUCGGAUGAGUCGAAAACUCCCCGUUGGAAAGUCCAUUUUAUGGCCGGACUCUGUCCGUUUGUUUUCUUGAUAUUGGGCCCAAAUGGGCCUUAGAGUUGGGUUAAUGAACAGUUAGGCUUACUACGGGCCUCGGGGGCUUUAGGCUGGCCCAGGUCCUAGUGCCGGUCCGGCCCAUAGGUUGGGUCGUGACAGAUGUGGUAUCAGAGCUUAGGCUCCAGAUUCAUAGGGAAAAAUCAUCUAAGUGUUGGGAAGAGUCUACUAGGAGUCACAUGCAGAGUAUAGGAUUCUGUUUCGUCUUUUUCUGUAAUUCUUUGUUUCUAGAUUCUACGUUAUACCUCGGGAAAUAUAAGAUUACCUCAGUUAAUGUCUUGAUUUUCGUGGAGUACAUAGAAAUGUGAAAUAUAGUUAGUAGACAUGCGAGGUCUAUCAUGAGGAUACGUACUCCAAGAAAUGUUAUAUUUUUGUCAGUAUGGGUUUAAAUAGUGUGCCCAUUUCGUGCAAGGCACGAGUACAUAAAAGUAAGUCCUGAAAGUACAGUUGCCCUAGAUAAGGAUGAGGAUACCACUGCUGGCAAUCAUCAGUAGAUGACCCAGUCAGAAUAAGUUUUUGAUAAUAGAAGAUUCAAGAGAGAUAAGAAAUUGGGAGACCUAGUCUGUCAGGACGUAUCGUAGUAACUAUACAAUGUUCUC
Molecule: long non-coding RNA, 1202 nt
Organism: Hevea brasiliensis (rubber tree)
Lineage: Eukaryota; Viridiplantae; Streptophyta; Magnoliopsida; Malpighiales; Euphorbiaceae
Exons: 3
Source: RefSeq, a predicted model, not a curated record